UACAGAGGGUGCAAGCGUUAAUCGGAAUUACUGGGCGUAAAGCGUGCGUAGACGGUUGCGUAAGUCAGAUGUGAAAGCCCCGGGCUCAACCUGGGAAUUGCAUUUGAGACUGCGUAGCUAGGGUGCGGAAGAGGGUAGCGGAAUUUCCGGUGUAGCGGUGAAAUGCGUAGAUAUCGGAAGGAACACCAGUGGCGAAAGCGGCUUCCUGGUCCAGCACCGACGUUCAGGCACGAAAGCGUGGGGAGCAAACAGG
Molecule: ribosomal RNA, 253 nt
Filed under: uncultured bacterium
Lineage: Bacteria
Description: partial 16S ribosomal RNA
Rfam family: Bacterial small subunit ribosomal RNA
Source: RNAcentral